Molecule: non-coding RNA, 8524 nt
Organism: Xyrichtys novacula (pearly razorfish)
Lineage: Eukaryota; Metazoa; Chordata; Actinopteri; Labriformes; Labridae
Source: the annotation of a GenBank genome assembly
GGGGACAUCUUGCAGACAGUGAUGUUAACCUACCUGAGGCUGACAGGACAUCUACAUUAGACACAACACUCAGCUGUAGACGGCCAAAAACUCACUUUGCAGACACAUUUCAAACAUGCAUAUGUCCUUUAUGCAAAGUGUACAGUAUGGCAAAAUUAAAAUAUUUUACAUUACAUCACGCGCCUAUCCAUGUCGAAAUGCGAAACCCCUGACAGAGUAUUUCAAUUUCACGGGGAACACUGUGUUAACUGUGAUAAGGCCAAUGACACAACCAAGACAAACUGCAGAUUUGUGGAAACUCUACGGUACAAUUCUCAAAGCUCUCAGUUUUUUCCAUAGUCAGUUUGACAUGAUAGUACUAAAAGAACAUUUCAACACAGAAAAUACAAAUUACACACUGUUUCUUGACCCUUUGAUAUGAAAUAUUUGAUGCUAUUUGGAUUCUUUCCAAUUCCAUAAUUAUACUCCGGGACUUUAAAAGAGAAUCUCUGAGACGCUUAAAGGAUGUCAAUUUAUUUUGCCCAAGUUACCCAACAAUCUCAUGGUUUGUGUCUCUUCACAUCAAUUGGACAGCAAGAGUACAUCAUGAGAGCCAUAAUGCUUCAUAACUUUUUUCUAUGCCCAACAACUGACCAACAAAACUCCAUUCAGUUCUUUAAGUUUAGCAAAUAGUUGACCCAAUAAAAAUAUUCUAAUAACCAAAGAUACAUUGGUGGUUCUUAUUGAGGACCAUGUAUCUGUUUGGUGUUAUGAGUUACCCUGAGAUUUCCAUACUUAGUCCAAUGUCAUAUUUUUGUCUAACAACCAGUUUUGUUACAAACUUCACCAGAAAAUCUUCACCGUGCCAAAAGCAACCAAAGGCUGCCCAACUAUGAUUUGUCUUUCUUGCUAGCCAGAGUUAAGUUGACAGAGAUGGAGGAGAAAUAAUGUUCAUGCUGUGGUGAAUUACGUUUUCAGUCUCCCUAUGCUGCUCCAACUGUGGGUGUCUGGUAUAUAUCAGUGUUACAAUAUCUGCCAGUAAUGGGAAUAUUUUGUCAGUAUUUUGUCCAAUAAACACAACUGCCAAUAAUUGCUGCACAGGGAUUUUGUCUAGCACUUAAAUUACAUGCCUCAUGCUCAAGGGCUGUAGUCCUUGAAGCAGGCGACCGUAGUUCUUUUUCAACCAUUAGCUGCAUGUCAUUCCCUACUUUUCCUUCUAUAUUGGUAAGCAAUCCUUAAUCAAGCAGAGAAAGGAAGAACAACAGCAACAAGCAUAUGCUACCAAGGGUAACAUGACUGAGACUUGCAAAACAUGCACCAUAAUUUUGACAAGGGAAAGAAAAAGUCUGUCUUACUCCAGACAUACAAAUUUAUGUUAGGCCAAUGACAAUGCUCAGAGUUUGACAGCCAAAAGCUUAGUGAAGACGAACAUGGCUUUUAUUGUGUAUUGACGGAUGCAGUUAGUUUUUGAAGCUACCUGUGUUUUAUUUGAUGAUAAAGUAGUACAAUGUCUACUUUGAUCAUCCGUCAAAGUAUUUCAUCCAAAUCUCUGGGAUAAUAGGCUGUAAUUGCCAAAACAUGUUGGCUGUAGGUUGUUUUUUUUAUAUAUAUACAACAGUUUCAUGUAAAACAAUUUCACUUUUAUGUUUUUUUAUCAGCCCUAAUUCCAAAGCCAAUUUCAAUGUCCAGAAAAAUGGGAAUUCCAAUGGUCAAAUCAACUGGCAAACUGGUGGACUAAUUGCUAGAGCUGAUAAAUAUCAAUCGGUCAGGGAAACCUUUGGUCGUAUGCUGCCCUGACAAAGAGGGACAGAUCUAUUCAUGGAUCUAUUUCAGAAUACCCCAGGCUGUUGUGGAACGCAAACUGAAAGUAUCUUUGAAAUCCUGGUGUUUUGAAUACAAAUGACUGUGUGAGGUGGGAGAUCUGCAAAAUAAAUCAAACAUCCUAAUCUGUUGGCCUAAAAGCAGGAAUGUAACUGUAAGAGCUUGCUAAUGCAGUUCAUGUCCAAGUGGCUUUAAGUAUUGCCACCUAAUGAUACCAGUUUUCUUUAUUAAACACAUACACUCGCAUAAUUCCAGUGAUCAGUGGGAACACAGCUGGUACAGACGCACAUGCUCUGUCUUUUUUUCCUUACAAAUGAUGUGAAAAUGGCCCAUUAUGGUGAGGAACAAAGAAGAUAGGCCCCAUGUUAGAGCCAACCCCUCAUUGAUGCCCUGGUGACUCGGCCAGCCACUCUCCCAAGGCCUACUCCUUGAUUAAAUGCAUAAUCCACUACUCCCCAUCCCCAAUGAUUUAGUGUGCCUUUAAAUCAGCUUGCGCACACAUAAAAACCUCAAAUAAAAAUCACCAAGAAAAACCAUUGCACUCUAACUGUUCUAUUAAAAUGAUACCCGGCCCAGCCUUUCUUCUCUGCAAUACCGUUUAUUCCACAUGAAUGCAUAUCUUCAUUUUUUUUCAUAGGUAUGCAUAUAAAAUAUUUAAAGUUUAAAAUGUCACCGUUGAAACAUCAAAUGCAGGAGUCUCUCAUUAAUCAGCAAGGAUGGAGGCUCUCUUUUAAGGUUAUAACCCUUUGAAAGAGCAAAAAUUACAUUUUUGACCUUGAAGAUGAGACAAACUCAUAAACGUAAAAUAAUUUGCAGUUUAAAGGGGAAAGAGAUAUCGGUUACCUCAGCCAGCAGAGCUCUGGGUUGUCAGGGGGAGACCAAACAAGUCUCAUUUUCAUAUUUACAUCCAAGCUGUUGAGAUUAAUUUAAAAUCACAUCAAGAAAGAAAAGAAACAAAACUCGGAGAAAACAUCAAAAGGGGCAACUGUCAAACUUUCAAAUCCAUGGGGCCUCAGCUAUCUCCGCCGUGUGAAACACAGACUUUUUUCUUACGGUUUUAUUAAAUGGUGCAUGACAUUUUCAUUACUCAAGGAAAUUAAAUUGACUAAUUUUCUUACAAGCCCCGUACGUCUGCUAUUUUAGGGAGGUGCAGAGAAGAGAGCAAUUGUUUCAACACCUACACAAGAGGAAUGUGAACGUGAUGUGCCCUCCGAAGAAAAGAGAUUUCAAAACCUUAAAGGAAAUUUGUUCUCUAAUGAGGGGAUUUAGGGUUUUGAUCUUUUUCUCAAAACUGGGAUUUGAUCUUCCCUCUUAGUUCUGAUUCCUGCUCAUUAUCAUGGGGACAACAAAAAACACACCUUCAAAAACAGUCUUUAAAUUAAACCUACAGUCUUCAUUCUUCACUGGAUAAACACACGAGACUAAGGAUGGCAAUAGGAGGCUGUUUUUGAUGAUUUUCUUUCCAUAAUUCGAGGAUGUUUAUCAGAGACACAGGGACAUAAUGAAAAUAAAAGCUCAUAAUCCCAAAAAGAAAACAAACAUUUAUCAUAUUAAGAACUUCAAACCAAUCUCCUGACUUUUUGGUUCGGCUUUAGUUGUGUUGUAAAUCUUAAAAAGCACCAAAAGAAGACAAACAUUUCAUCUCCCAUAUGUUCUUUGACUUUUAAGAGACUUAACACGCAAACACACUGAGCUCAACAUGAAGAAAAGCAUCUUGAUUUACUAAUGCAGGAUAAGAAAGGCAGCCCUCAGAAAUGAGACAGGACUCAGUGAAGAAUCAGUGAGGACAGCUGAGGGAAAUAUGGAGUCAGCCAUGGACCUCGACACUGCCCCUCCUCUGGAGAUGAAAAGGCUGAUUACCUUCAACCUCUCUGGGGUGUAAGCCACAUGGCUGACAACAUCAUUGGAAAAUAGACUGCUGAGCUCCUUUGGGCCCUAUAACAGCUUACAUUUAAUGUGGGGGGAAAAUUCACACUAAAAAGGAGGUGACACCACAGCCAUACUCUCAUAUUGUUGAAUAUAUUAUGAGGGGUGCCACUUAUUUAUGUCUGGAGUUAUAAUGUUGAUGGGGAUAGUUUAAAUUACACAUGUGGUUUUAAGAUGGUUCAGUAACUCAUGAUUAGCUACAUUCCUCUUAUCUGGAUGAUUUCUACAGAUGACAAAGUUAUGUAUACAUCACAGAAAAGAUUGUGAAAAUUGUGAAUAUUCAAUUUACGACUCCUACCGUGAAGGGGAAUUACCUGCAUAAUGAACUGUACCUCUGAAAGCAUCCAAAAAGCCUCCUGUGAUAAUUUAAGACAGACUUUUGUUGAAUUCUGAACACAACUGUUGGUGCUCAUCAGAGGAGUCGCUGUGAAAAAAGUCAAGGCUUUAGAAAUGAUCUAAUCAAAACUGGUAAUUGUUUAAUAAGUCCUCCAAAGUGUCUCAGUGACACAUUUUGAGAGUCAUUGGAUGAAAAAUAGCAAAUCCAAAAUGAAAUCCCACUAAUCCUUUGAUGAAUAAGCUCCAGUCCUUUCCAUGACCUCUGUGUUUGUCAACGACGACCACAAUUUAGUGGCUGCCUGAACUUUAUUUCAAAGGUUACUGAAUUAACUUAAAAUUACUUACAAUGCUAUUAAAACACUGAGCUCUUUUGUUGUGGCAGCAAAUUAAUUUCAAACCUCAGCUAUUUGAAAUAUUCAGAGACAUUAUGGGGAGGGGGGGGUAAAAGAAUGGCAGAAGUCGGGCUUUCUCAAUGCUUUUUGGCUUGGCAAAUGCUCGUCUUGAGCGAUGAGCAAAAGAAACUGGGCUUAACAAGAAACAUAUGCUAUUCCACUAGAGAGGAAGCCUUGGUAAGAGGAUCAUGGCUAUGUAAUAAACAGAGACAGGAAAAGGGCACGUGUGGCGGUUUGGGUGGAUGAGGAGUUUUUCAAAGGCGACAUGGAGACACAGGCUUAAAACACAGAGUAUAGGCGGAUCAAUCCACUUUGUUUAUCCAGGCACAAGAAACUGAAUUUGCACCAGGUCACUCAAAGAUUUCAUUUUCUGUCUCUUGACUGUAUCAUCCUCAGAACUGUAUGUACAAUGAGGAUUUUUUUUAAUCUUGUCUCCAUGCAAUUCCUGAUCAGAUAGCUGAAAUGAAGUUUGUCCAACUAUUAUAACUCAAGCUAAACCGUCCUGACUCUCCUCUUUUGUUUUGUAAGAAAUACAUAUUCAGCACAUUUAUUUCUGUAAACAAAGUAUUAUUGUUUUUUUUGUUUGUUUGUUUUUUUUAAUAAUCAUGUAUUCAACCAUUAUUAAAUAGAUAAUGUUUGAAAUAAAUCUAUAAGAUCUUUACUUUUAAACUUUCAUAGUUAAGGCAUUAUGCAGGGUUUCUUUUGGGACUGAAGUGUGCCAGUCUCUAGUUUGUAUGUACUCUGCACUAGGGCAUAUGUCUGUGCUGUAAUCACAACAACAAUCUUUUACAGAUUGCCCAUAAUUAGAAAAGCUCCUCUCCAAACCAGCUCCAUGUUAAGAGCAUGAUUGCAGCCAAAUUGAGCAGUAAUUUGUACGAUGUGGACGUGGGUGCUGUGUGAGGGGAGAUGUCUGAUGGUUUAAUGCCACUUUUAUAAGGUCUGGUUAGCCUGCCUCGCUCCAACUAAACACAUGGACCUCAGCAUCAGACUAGGAAAAGAGCCUCUGUAUUGCAUCAUGGGAAACAGAUCUGAAGCUGAUUAAAAAAAAAGAGGGGAAAAAAGGCAGAAGCGGUAUACAUGUUUUCUGUCCUCUGUAACCCCAGGAGACCCAUCAUGGAUGCUAAUGGAAUCACUUGCCCUACUAUUAUACAAAAACCUAAACAUCACCUGGCUUUCUGUGUGGAGAACAGAUGCACUCAUUAUUAUUCCACAAAGCUGAUCAAGGCCAAGCUACUAAGAGGUCUAAUGAAGACUCUCCUGUUACUGUACCACAUACACAGAAUUUAAACUCUGCUGUGAUGUUUUUAAUUAGUGAUGCCUUUAAGAAGCUGAAUAACUGUGAAACUUAACUGUGACCGUCAGAGCCCACCUUUUCACUGUGGCUGGUAAGACGUGACCCAGAUUUUAUUGUUUUCCCCUGUUCCACUCCACCAUUCUUGACAGGAACCUACAUUUUCUAAGGCUCAGAAUAACUGCUGAUAUUUUUCAUCACAUCUUUGAGGGAAACUGUUUUAAACAGGAAUAUUGUUUUACAUCCAUAGGCCCUUGUUGGGUAGUGAACUACUCUGCUUUUAUGUCCGUGCUUGGACAACUGUCAUUACUUACCAGUUCUCAAGACCAGCCUUCAAUAGAAACUUAUAUUUUAGCCACAGUGGCGACAGACAGAUUUGAAAUGGGCCAGACCCUUUUAUGCAAAUUGAUUUGAUACCACGUGUGUGAUCAGGUCAUCCCUGGUAUUGCUUCGGUUGUUAAGGUUUAAUUACUGUUGUUGUAGGGUUUUGACAAAUCAGAGUCAAGUCUUUGCCACAGCCAGUAGAUAAAAGCUUUGAAUGAUCAUCAUCACCAGCUAUGACUUAUCCAUAAUAUUUAAGGUGGACUUUUAUGUUCCAGUUGAAAACUACUUGGAUAAAGUUGUUUUCCCUUUUCCACUGGCCCAGUUUGAAAAAAAUACAUACUGUGUUGCCUUGGUUUUUGAGUAAUCAAAUCCAGGGUAAUAGAUAAGACAAAAGAGCAAACAUCAACCAGGAGAUGCCCCUGUCAAAUUCUUACAAAUCAGUAAUUUACACUGAUAAACAAAUAUGAAAACAGGAACAAGUAAGUUCUAGAUUCUGUCAAGUACAAUACAUAAAAUCAUAUGAACAGAAGCAGUUAACUAUUAAAUAGUCAGAUGUAAAGCAUCUUCAUGUGAUGCCUGAAGAUGUUAAAAAUAUACUGGUGUUGGAAACUACAAAGAAAGCUCUAAAUGGAGCGGAAAGACUGGACAGCAGUGUCAGCAAACACAUGAGAAUGUCUCUUUCACCUGCCAUAAUUACUGCUGCCAAUCCAAAACGAUUUUAUAAUUCCAAAAUCCUGACACUUCACAAAGACUCUAUAAUUGCAUCAGAAUGGCCUUUCACACUUGAGAGGUCUAUUAAUUAUUUUUCCCUAUGACCUAUCCUGAAAUACAUCUUGUGACUUUUUUCCCUGAAAGCAGCCUCAUAAGAGGAUGUGGAAUUUUUCAUGAAAACAUGAAAAAUAUCCACUUGAGAUGGAUGCAUUCUCUCCUCUCCUUUCUGCCCUCAAAACAUCCCAGAAUAGAGCAAUGAUGUGGUGCUAAAUACACAGCGAAGCUUAAAGAAUUUCACAGGGAUUGACAGUUUCAAGUUGAGGAGGCAAAUCUAAAGGUAGCAAGGGUCAAAACAAUAACUCUAACUGCAUGAAACCUUGUGACUAAGAGGGCCAAAACAAACAGGACAGGGAAGCUUGAGGGACAUUACUAGUUACAAAUGCAUCUCAAAAUUAGUGUGUUUUUAGUACUUUAUUCUAAGACGUCAACUAUGAUUCAUUACAUGUAAAGUGAGAUAUUUCAAGUUCAUCUCAAAGACAGGCAAUGAUAUGUUACAAGAGAUCUCAAACUGGCUAGCACUGAAGUUGCACAACUAGUGGAGAUACUACUUGACUUGACAAUGGUACAUAACAGCUGAUGGAAAAAAAUAAGUAAACACCCUCAAAGUCAACAUGGCCUAAUGUACCAAUGCUAACAAGAAGCAUAAAAAAACAAUCAAACACUUGAGGUCAGCCGUGUUUGGUUUUGUGCUCUAGGAAACCCUGCAUCAGUUCCCUCAUAAGUGCUUAAACACAAAGAUAUAUGGAGAAGUUCAUUUUGUGAUAUUUCAAACUCCAAACACAACAUUUCACUUCUGUGAUUAUGUUGGGCUAUUUUACUCAUCAACAACUACUGAAACUCAUCAUGGAGAAAUCAAGCACUUAAGACUAAGAGCCUGAUCUACUAGAGCUGCAUGUAUAAAAACACGUGCAAACUUGAUAGCGGGCAAAGCUGAUCUACUAACCUGGCGCACAGAGGAUUUCAUCUGUCAAAUAAGCAGAACACCAUGCGCAAUCCAUUUAGUGUUUUUGCCUUCAUGAGUAUGCAGAAAGUAUGCACAAAAUACAGGGGUGGAGGAGAUGCAAAUGGAAUCAUUUAGCACCUGCAACGUGAUUUAUCAAACCCAGAAACUGACUGUGGUCUGUGUUUUUGCGUCUAUAUUUAGCACGUUUAAAAGGCAGAUGCAAACUGGCACAGCGUUACGCACAAAUGGCAGUGGUCAUCGUGGCAAGAGGGAGGCAAAGGUGCAAUGACAGACAAAGGAUAAAGAGAAUCUCUUCUAGAUGAUCUAAGGACUGAUUUGAAGCCAGUCACAAAAAGGAUCCGUAUCUACUAUAUGGAAAGAUUCUUUGUAACACUGCAUUUUUCUGCAUCUGGAUCAUUCCAGCGCACUAUCGCAAUUAGCGCCGGCGUCUCCCAGAGUAGUUAUUCUGGUGUGCUGUACCAAGUGUUGAAUGCUAGGUCACGCAGGAUGGGCCAGUAUAUCCAGUUCCUACACACUCAAGACGCUGUAAAUGAUACAAAACACAGCUUUUAUGCUGUUGCUGGCUUUUCCAAAACAAUAGGUGCAAAUCCAGGGCUUCAAACUUCAUUUUUUGUUGACAGCCACUCUGCCAGAUCACCCGCAACAUGCCCACUAAUAGCACAUGCAAUUUUUUAGUUUGUUCACUUAAUUUAGCGCUCGCUAUUCGCAGUGUUGCUUUCG